Molecule: ribosomal RNA, 484 nt
Filed under: uncultured bacterium
Lineage: Bacteria
Description: partial 16S ribosomal RNA
Rfam family: Bacterial small subunit ribosomal RNA
Source: RNAcentral
AUUGAACGCUGGCGGCAGGCCUAACACAUGCAAGUCGAGCGGAUGAAGGGAGCUUGCUCCUGGAUUCAGCGGCGGACGGGUGAGUAAUGCCUAGGAAUCUGCCUGGUAGUGGGGGAUAACGUCCGGAAACGGGCGCUAAUACCGCAUACGUCCUGAGGGAGAAAGUGGGGGAUCUUCGGACCUCACGCUAUCAGAUGAGCCUAGGUCGGAUUAGCUAGUUGGUGGGGUAAAGGCCUACCAAGGCGACGAUCCGUAACUGGUCUGAGAGGAUGAUCAGUCACACUGGAACUGGAACACGGUCCAGACUCCUACGGGAGGCAGCAGUGGGGAAUAUUGGACAAUGGGCGAAAGCCUGAUCCAGCCAUGCCGCGUGUGUGAAGAAGGUCUUCGGAUUGUAAAGCACUUUAAGUUGGGAGGAAGGGCAGUAAGUUAAUACCUUGCUGUUUUGACGUUACCAACAGAAUAAGCACCGGCUAACUUCGUG